Molecule: long non-coding RNA, 1796 nt
Filed under: Anser cygnoides (Swan goose)
Lineage: Eukaryota; Metazoa; Chordata; Aves; Anseriformes; Anatidae
Description: lncRNA (ENSACDG00005004737.1)
Source: RNAcentral
GGAAGGUUCUGGGGUCUACAGCAGGGACAUGUAUGUCUCAGUUCCUUUAACAGUCUGUGAAACUGGACAAAACUGUACAACAGCAGCAAAAGAAAUUUCCAGCUGAACAAGCCAUUAUGGCAACAGAAGUGUUGUUCCCUCACUGGCUUUGGCACCAAGGGAAAUAACAGCAAUGGUUCUUCACUUCCACAGCAGGGAAGUAGUUGGGCAGUGUGCUGGUGGCACAGAAGAUUGCAUGCACAGGGGAUUUCAGAGAUGUAUCUGGAUGUUGAUUUUGUGAGAGACAGAAAGACAAUCCCACAUGAUUUUUAGCACUGUGCACAUGCCCAGCAUUACAAGCCAGGCAGUUCUGUUAUGGCAAAACAUGGCUGGUGUUUUCACCAAGUGAAAACAUUAGCUGGGUUAUCAUCCAUAUAAUGAUGAUAGACAUUUAGCCGUGUCUCUUUCUCUGAGACCUCUCACCUAAGUCUAAACUGUGGUCAAGAUCAAGUUCUUGCUAUUUAUUUUUUUUCAAUUGUGGAUGACAGAAGUAGGGAGAACACCUAUCUGCCACUUGUUGAAGAGUCCUUAUCUGCUGAGUAAAAGGCCUGUGUCUAUUCAUCACAGAUUUACCAUGCUACAAGUGCUCUUCAGUGAAGAAGAUUGAGCUGCUUCACAGAGUAAAGAAAGCACAACAGAAAUUCAAAGAGUGUAGACAUGAGUAACAAGAAAUCUGACUAGUCAAAAAGCGUCAUAUUAAAAACCCAGCAAAAGCAGAAUAGCACUGCAAUGGCACUGCAGGCCAAGUUAAAUGGCUAACAGCUAGGAAAGGAGCAAGCAACCCAGUAAGUGGAUUAGGUGAGGAGUUCAGAUGGUAAGGGCCUACUCUGAACACAAAAAGUGGUUGCCAAAUAAAUUUCCAAAAACUUCCCUCAAGAAUAGCAAAGUUACUGGUCAUGACAGCUGCCCCAGGCAGAGAGGACGUUGGAUCAGCAAUAAAAGACAAAGUCAUAGUUAAGAAAAAUGCUUCAGAUGCCCAACAAUGGCUUGUUUCAUGCAGAUUUUGUCCAGAUGGAUGGAAGCAGCUGAACUGCCAUGCUUUCAGAAGCUAUCAUCUCCCAGCUGAGUCCCUCAGAAAAAUCCCCUUUCCUCACACACAUGCACAUGUACUCAUGCAGUAAAAGCCAUUCUGGAGGUUUAAUAAUACAAGCAACAAUUCUAAUAGUUUUUGUGGUUUUCUUUAUGCAUACUCAGUGCUACCUGGAUUUCAUUUGGAUGAUGUAGGGAACUUGUUUCUGUUAAAUUCUAUUAAUUGUAAAACAGAAUGUUGUUAUACUGAUAUACUGUUAAUUAAAAAUAACUAGAAAAAUGCAAUAUGUGUUAUAUUGACUGGGGGAUUUCUAAUCCACAAUUGUCAUUUGUUUUAUUCUAACUUAAGAAGUUUUUGUACUGAAAAUGUAAUCAUUAUUGUUUGGAAGGAAAAGAACUCCUGCAGUAACUGAUGGAACUGCUCAGUAUUUUAUUAAAUAUAAGGGUCAGAAAGCUUGGAAAACAUAAUCAUUAAGUUUGUAUGUGUGUAUGGAAUACUAUUCUCGGCACAUAUUUGUCAGGUAAGGAGGUGAUGGAAGCUUCGCUACCUGUGUCAGUGCUUAGUAAUGCUCCCAUGACAUAGACCGACAAGAAAUCAUAGCUCCUGCUGAACUUCUUAAUGCCCUGAAUACAGCAGGGACUUUCUUAUCAUUCCUUUCCUACAUUGUCUAAUACACAUUUCUGAGAACUGAGGGUAUGCUCAAAAAAUAAACAGCAACAAAUUAUCA